This 301-nucleotide ribosomal RNA is filed under the name uncultured bacterium. RNAcentral describes it as "partial 16S ribosomal RNA". It matches the Rfam family "Bacterial small subunit ribosomal RNA", at positions 509 to 807 of the family's 1533-position model. The record is from RNAcentral.
CAGCAGCCGCGGUAAUACAGAGGGUGCAAGCGUCAAUCGGAUUUACUGGGCGUAAAGCGUGCGUAGGUGGCUGUUUAAGUCGGAUGUGAAAGCCCUGGGCUUAACCUGGGAACUGCAUUCGAUACUGGAUAGCUAGAGAUCGGUAGAGGGCAGCGGAAUUCCGGGUGUAGCGGUGAAAUGCGUAGAUAUCCGGAGGAACACCGAUGGCGAAGGCAACUGCCUGGGCCUGAUCUGACACUGAGGCACGAAAGCGUGGGUAGCAAACAGGAUUAGAUACCCGCGUAGUCCCUGUCUCUUAUAC